CUACUUUUAAUUCUAAACUAAAAAUUUAAAUCUCUUGUCACUAAAAUAUCUAUAAUUCAUUUAAUAUCUAUUCAAUUUAUGUAAAUUUUAGCUCAUUGACCUUAACUCAAGCUACAAACUUUAUAUUAUCAAAGUCAAUAAACAAAUUUUAAAAAAAUGAGAGCCAAAUCAAAGAAAAAAUUAGUUACAUGCUAUAACCAUAGCCAUAUGAAUCCUUUUCUAUAAAUUUGUUUGGAUCUCCCUCAUCACAUCUUUUCUUCUUAAGUACAAUGGCUUAUUGAAAAGCUAACAACAAGAUCCAGCUUCUCUCAAAAUUUCAAAACAAAAUGAUGCAAAUCCAUUAAAUGGCAUAGACAUAUUCAAACUAGUCUUUAAUCUUGCUGUUUAAAAACUCUAGCAACUCUCUUCCUAUAAAUUUCCAUAGAUUUCCCUUAUCAUAGCUCUUCUUCUUGCAUGUUAAGACUUGUUAGAAAGCUAAUAAUAAGAUCUAGCUUCUUUCAAAAUUUCAAUACAAAAGACAAAAAUAUAAUAGAUGGUAUAGAAAAAUCCUAACAAGUCUUUUAUUACCCUAAUAUUUCAACAACCCUCCUCCUACAUGUCACUUGCCUAAGGAAAAUCCACUCGAUGCUAAAAAAUCCCCUCCUUCUUUUUUUCUCCUCCUUCCCUCCCACC
RNAcentral lists this long non-coding RNA (672 nucleotides) under Physcomitrium patens. Its description in RNAcentral is "long non-coding RNA (PPAT_LNC010057)". The record is from RNAcentral. Lineage: Eukaryota; Viridiplantae; Streptophyta; Bryopsida; Funariales; Funariaceae.